ACGGAGGAUCCAAGCGUUAUCCGGAUUUACUGGGUUUAAAGGGUGCGUAGGCGGAUUGAUAAGUCAGUGGUGAAAGCCUACAGCUUAACUGUAGAACUGCCAUUGAUACUGUCAGUCUGGAGUAUGGUUGAGGUAGCUGGAAUGUGUCAUGUAGCGGUGAAAUGCUUAGAUAUUACACAGAACACCGAUGGCGAAGGCAGCAUACUGAGCCAUUACUGACGCUGAGGCACGAAAGCGUUGGGAUCAAACAG
This 251-nucleotide ribosomal RNA is filed under the name uncultured prokaryote. Its description in RNAcentral is "partial 16S rRNA". It matches the Rfam family "Bacterial small subunit ribosomal RNA", at positions 525 to 775 of the family's 1533-position model. The record is from RNAcentral.